This 253-nucleotide ribosomal RNA is filed under the name uncultured bacterium. RNAcentral's name for it is "partial 16S ribosomal RNA". It matches the Rfam family "Bacterial small subunit ribosomal RNA", at positions 524 to 776 of the family's 1533-position model. The record is from RNAcentral.
CACGUAGGGCGCAAGCGUUGUCCGGAAUUAUUGGGCGUAAAGAGCUCGUAGGCGGUCUGUUACGUCUGCUGUGAAAACCCUGGGCUUAACCCUGGGCUUGCAGUGGAUACGGGCAGACUAGAGGCAGGUAGGGGAGAAUGGAAUUCCCGGUGUAGCGGUGAAAUGCGCAGAUAUCGGGAGGAACACCGGUGGCGAAGGCGGUUCUCUGGGAAUGUCCUGACGCUGAGGAGCGAAAGCGUGGGGAGCGAACAGG